This 468-nucleotide ribosomal RNA is filed under the name uncultured bacterium. Its description in RNAcentral is "partial 16S ribosomal RNA". It matches the Rfam family "Bacterial small subunit ribosomal RNA", at positions 28 to 507 of the family's 1533-position model. The record is from RNAcentral.
GACGAACGCUGGCGGCGUGCUUAACACAUGCAAGUCGAACGGAAAGGCCCUGCUUUUGUGGGGUGCCCGAUUGGCGAACGGGUGAGUAACACGUGAGUAACCUGCCCUUGACUUUGGGAUAACUUCAGGAAACUGGGGCUAUUACCGUAUAGGACUUCCGCCGCAAGGGCGGGGUUGGGAACUUUUGGCCGGUUGGGAAUGGACUCGCGGCUGAUCGGCUUGUUGGUGGGGUAGUGGCUUACCAAGGCUUUGACGGGUAGCCGGCCUGAGAGGGUGACCGGCCACAUUGGGACUGAGAUACGGCCCAGACUCCUACGGGAGGCAGCAGUGGGGAAUAUUGCACAAUGGGCGGAAGCCUGAUGCAGCAACGCCGCGUGCGGGAUGACGGCCUUCGGGUUGUAAACCGCUUUCGCCUGUGACGAAGCGUGAGUGACGGUAAUGGAUAAAGAAGCACCGGCUAACUACGUG